AUCCUCGUGGUGUAGUGGCGAAGGCUCUUGUUUUGUAGUCUAGAGAUCCCGGGUUCGAACCCCACCGAGGCCG
Molecule: non-coding RNA, 73 nt
Organism: Caenorhabditis brenneri
Lineage: Eukaryota; Metazoa; Nematoda; Chromadorea; Rhabditida; Rhabditidae
Source: the annotation of a GenBank genome assembly